RNAcentral lists this ribosomal RNA (1521 nucleotides) under Candidatus Phytoplasma citri. RNAcentral's name for it is "Candidatus Phytoplasma aurantifolia 16S ribosomal RNA". It matches the Rfam family "Bacterial small subunit ribosomal RNA". The record is from RNAcentral. Lineage: Bacteria; Bacillati; Mycoplasmatota; Mollicutes; Acholeplasmatales; Acholeplasmataceae.
GUUUGAUCCUGGCUCAGGAUUAACGCUGGCGGCGUGCCUAAUACAUGCAAGUCGAACGGAAACCUUCGGGUUUUAGUGGCGAACGGGUGAGUAACACGUAAGCAACCUACCCUAAAGACGAGGAUAACCAUUGGAAACAGUGGCUAAGACUGGAUAGGAAGAAAUAAGGCAUCUUUUUUCUUUUAAAAGACCUAGUGAUAGGUAUACUUUAGGAGGGGCUUGCGCCAUAUUAGUUAGUUGGUAGGGUAAUGGCCUACCAAGACGAUGAUGUGUAGCUGGACUGAGAGGUUGAACAGCCACAUUGGGACUGAGACACGGCCCAAACUCCUACGGGAGGCAGCAGUAGGGAAUUUUCGGCAAUGGAGGAAACUCUGACCGAGCAACGCCGCGUGAACGACGAAGUACUUUGGUAUGUAAAGUUCUUUUAUCAAGGAAGAAAAGCAAGUGGUGAACCAUUUGUUUGCCGGUACUUGAUGAAUAAGCCCCGGCUAAUUAUGUGCCAGCAGCCGCGGUAAGACAUAAGGGGCAAGUGUUAUCCGGAAUUAUUGGGCGUAAAGGGUGCGUAGGCGGUCUAGUAAGUCAGUGGUGUAAUGGCAACGCUCAACGUUGUCCGGCUAUUGAAACUGCUAAACUUGAGUUAGAUAGAGGCGAGUGGAAUUCCAUGUGUAGCGGUAAAAUGCGUAAAUAUAUGGAGGAACACCAGAGGCGUAGGCGGCUCGCUGGGUCUUAACUGACGCUGAGGCACGAAAGCGUGGGGAGCAAACAGGAUUAGAUACCCUGGUAGUCCACGCCGUAAACGAUGAGUACUAAGUGUCGGGUUAAACCGGUACUGAAGUUAACACAUUAAGUACUCCGCCUGAGUAGUACGUACGCAAGUAUGAAACUUAAAGGAAUUGACGGGACUCCGCACAAGCGGUGGAUCAUGUUGUUUAAUUCGAAGAUACCCGAAAAACCUUACCAGGUCUUGACAUGUUUUUGCGAAACGGUAGUAAUAUCGUGGAGGUUAUCAGAAACACAGGUGGUGCAUGGGUGUCGUCAGCUCGUGUCGUGAGAUGUUAGGUUAAGUCCUAAAACGAGCGAAACCCUUAUCGUUAGUUGCCAGCACGUUAUGGUGGGGACUUUAACGAGACUGCCAGUGAUAAAUUGGAGGAAGGUGAGGAUCACGUCAAAUCAGCAUGCCCCUUAUGACCUGGGCUACAAACGUGAUACAAUGGCUGUUACAAAGGGUAGCUGAAACGCAAGUUCUUGGCCAAUCCCCAAAAACAGUCUCAGUCCGGAUUGAAGUCUGCAACUCGACUUCAUGAAGUUGGAAUCGCUAGUAAUCGCGAAUCAGCAUGUCGCGGUGAAUACGUUCUCGGGGUUUGUACACACCGCCCGUCAAACCACGAAAGUUGGCAAUACCCCAAAACGGUAGCCUAACUCGUUUAUCGAGAGGGCGCUGUCUAAGGUAGGGUCGAUGAUUGGGGUUAAGUCGUAACAAGGUAUCCCUACCGGAAGGUGGGGAUGGAUCACCUCCUUUCU